This 1458-nucleotide long non-coding RNA is filed under the name Fragaria vesca (wild strawberry). RNAcentral's name for it is "long non-coding RNA (FVES_LNC003411)". The record is from RNAcentral. Lineage: Eukaryota; Viridiplantae; Streptophyta; Magnoliopsida; Rosales; Rosaceae.
AGUGCCGAUAGUAGCGGUCAACCCUAUUUACCGUUAUUAUUCUCUAUGGGGAGCCCUAUCGUCGGAAGGUAAAUGUCUCAAAAUUUUUAUAUAGGCGGUUGCCUCUCAUCUACGUGAAAGUUUUUCGUGUGGAAUGUUUCACCAAACUACGUAAUAUAGAGGGAGAUAUGAGUGUUUUCGUGAAUUUAUAGACUUUAGCCGACGAGAUAUUAAAAAAGUCGUUGGCUAAGGACAAAAAUUUUUGGGCGGUAAUUUUCAAAGGACUUUAGCCGAUGAAAAUAUAUGAUUUCGUCGGCUAAAGUCGAAAAAUUUUCAAAAUUUUCAACCAAAAUUUUCAAAAGAGUUUAGUCGACGAAAAUAAAUAAUUUCAUCGGCUAAAAUUCUUUAUAUAGGAGUUUUACCGAAAGUGGAUGGUAAGAAGUCUAUUUCGCCUGCAAGAUUUUCUUCUCGGCCUAGCUCCGUCGUCAAGCCACCGGAGACCGCCACACUUGUCCCAAAAGCUUCGCCGUCGUCUCUACUUCAUUGCUGGACAAGUGGUGCAUCGAGUGGCGCCACCAUGAGGGAUAAAUCGAGCUCCAAAACUCCGCCGGUUCGGAUUCGGUGUCGAUCGAAUUUCUCCUUCCUCAGGUCACCAUUUGGUUAGUUCUAUAUAUGGAUAAGUUGAGUUUGAUUAGUACUACAUUCCCCUAGAAUUUGGUAGCUCGAUUCGGUGUGUGUGAGGAGAAUCGAAGAUUUGAAGUUUUUAGGGUUUAAAAUUGGGGAUUUUUAUAUUUUGAUUCAAUUGACCUGUUUAGGCUUAGAAUUGGGCUUCGACUUCUUCUAGAAAGUUGUUCGAAAUGUUAAGAGGAAGAUUCUGUCAAAUUUUGGUGGUGAUUGGAGGUGGCCGGAAGUUUCUGCAGUUUUUUUUUUUCAAAAACCAGCAACUUUAGCUUACGAUAUUUAAAUACUAUAUUCGUCGGCUAUAGUAUUUUUUAAUUUUUUAUAAGGUUUAGCCGACGAAAUAUGGCAUGUUUCGUCGGCUAUAGUUAUUUUUUUAAUUUUUUUAUAAGGUUUAGCCGACGAAAUAUGACACGACCCACCCCGAAUUUCACCCUGAAACCCAAAGUAAGUCGUGCGGGGACCACCUCCAAGGAAAAUUUACUGAAAAGAUUAAGAAAAUCUCCCUUACAGAUGGACAACCCUAACUCGAAAAUUUCAUAUUACACUCUUAAUUUAACACUUCUGAACAUCACAUAAUAUACAAAAAUUCUAAAGUAUUCAGAGCUACUAAACACGAGCGGAAGCAAGAAAACACGAGUAGGUUGAACAGGUAACCUACUGGCGAAAACUGGCAGAAAUGCGGGUGACUAUGCCUCGUCUCCUACUAGAUCCAACCCGAACUCUGCAGACUGGGCAAUUUAAAACGAAGGGCCCAGGGGAAAACAUUUAAUAACGUUAGAGUGAGUGGACAAAAUAAAU